Molecule: ribosomal RNA, 428 nt
Filed under: uncultured bacterium
Lineage: Bacteria
Description: partial 16S ribosomal RNA
Rfam family: Bacterial small subunit ribosomal RNA
Source: RNAcentral
GUGGGGAAUAUUGGGCAAUGGGGGCAACCCUGACCCAGCAACGCCGCGUGAGGGAAGAAGGUUUUCGGAUUGUAAACCUCUGUCCUAUGGGAAGAAGGAAGUGACGGUACCAUAGGAGGAAGCCCCGGCUAACUACGUGCCAGCAGCCGCGGAAAUACGUAGGGGGCGAGCGUUGUCCGGAAUUACUGGGCGUAAAGGGUGCGCAGGUGGCCUGACAAGUCAGAUGUGAAAUACCGACGCUUAACGUCGGGGCUGCAUUUGAAACGAAGAGGCUGGAGUGCAGGAGAGGGAAGCGGAAUUCGUAGUGUAGCGGUGAAAUGCAUAGAUAUAGGGAGGAACACCAGUGGCGAGGGCAGCUUGCUGGACUGUAACUGACACUGAGGCACGAAAGCGUGGGGAGCAAACAGGAUUAGAAACCCUAGUAGUCC